GAUGAACGCUGGCGGCGUGCCUAAUACAUGCAAGUCGAGCGAACAGACGAGGAGCUUGCUCCUCUGACGUUAGCGGCGGACGGGUGAGUAACACGUGGAUAACCUACCUAUAAGACUGGGAUAACUUCGGGAAACCGGAGCUAAUACCGGAUAAUAUAUUGAACCGCAUGGUUCAAUAGUGAAAGACGGUUUUGCUGUCACUUAUAGAUGGAUCCGCGCCGCAUUAGCUAGUUGGUAAGGUAACGGCUUACCAAGGCGACGAUGCGUAGCCGACCUGAGAGGGGUGACCGCCACCAUGGGACCGGACACCGCGCCAGGCCCCGGCGGGGAGGCACAGGGGGGAAUCCGCCCGAAGGGGGGAAAGGCCGACGGGCGCACCGCGGGGGGAGUGAGAAGGUUUUUGGGACCGAAAAACUUUUUUAUGGGGGAAAAAAAAAUGUGAAAGUAAAAUUGCCCGUCUGAGGGGUACUAAAAAAGAAACCAGCGCCGACCUCCGG
Molecule: ribosomal RNA, 497 nt
Filed under: uncultured bacterium
Lineage: Bacteria
Description: partial 16S ribosomal RNA
Rfam family: Bacterial small subunit ribosomal RNA
Source: RNAcentral